RNAcentral lists this ribosomal RNA (445 nucleotides) under uncultured bacterium. RNAcentral's name for it is "partial 16S ribosomal RNA". It matches the Rfam family "Bacterial small subunit ribosomal RNA", at positions 354 to 796 of the family's 1533-position model. The record is from RNAcentral.
GUGAGGAAUAUUGGUCAAUGGGCGGGAGCCUGAACCAGCCAAGUCGCGUGAAGGAAGAAGGAUCUAUGGUUCGUAAACUUCUUUUGCAGGGGAAUAAAGUGCAGGACGUGUCCUGUUUUGUAUGUACCCUGAGAAUAAGGAUCGGCUAACUCCGUGCCAGCAGCCGCGGUAAUACGGAGGAUCCGAGCGUUAUCCGGAUUUAUUGGGUUUAAAGGGUGCGUAGGUGGUUUGAUAAGUCAGCGGUGAAAGUUUGCAGCUUAACUGUAAAAAUGCCGUUGAAACUGUCGGACUUGAGUGUAAAUGAGGUAGGCGGAAUGCGUGGUGUAGCAGUGAAAUGCAUAGAUAUCACGCAGAACUCCGAUUGCGAAGGCAGCUUACUAAGCUACAACUGACACUGAAGCACGAAAGCGUGGGGAUCAAACAGGAUUAGAAACCCUAGUAGUCC